Etheostoma spectabile (orangethroat darter) is the source of this 164-nucleotide long non-coding RNA. RefSeq lists it as uncharacterized. The transcript has 3 exons. NCBI's taxonomy places the organism in Eukaryota, Metazoa, Chordata, Actinopteri, Perciformes, Percidae. The record is from RefSeq and is a predicted model, not a curated record.
UUCACGCAACACGCAAGCGUGUUGGAAGCGUUUUCAGGCGAAAUAGAAUAGGAAAAAGUGUUUGUGUCAUUUUGACAUGAAUACAUAUUAAUAAAAGACAUGGUGAUGUUUCAAAGUCUCUAGGUUUUGACAUCAAUGCAGUUAAAUAAGUAUUUACAGUACAG